ACUCAAAUGAAUUGACGGGGGCCCGCACAAGCGGUGGAGCAUGUGGUUUUCAAUUCGACGCAACGCGAAGAACCUUACCUGGGUUUGAACUACUAAAAGUAAAACCGAUGAAAGUUGGGAUGACCUGUAAAGUCAGGAAUUAGCAGAGGUGCUGCAUGGCUGUCGUCAGCUCGUGUCGUGAGAUGUUGGGUUAAGUCCCGCAACGAGCGCAACCCUUAUCCUAUGUUGCCACGUCCGUAAAGGACAGCACUCUUAGGAAACUGCCUCGGAUAACGGGGAGGAAGGUGGGGAUGACGUCAAGUCCUCAUGGCCUUUAUGUCCAGGGCUACACACGUGCUACAAUGGCCGGUACAACGAGCAGCAAUCCCGCAAGGGGGAGCAAAUCUCUAAAAGCCGGCCCCAGUUCAGAUUGUGGGCUGCAAUUCGCCCACAUGAAGGCGGAAUCGCUAGUAAUCGGAGAUCAGCUGGCUCCGGUGAAUACGUUCCCGGGCCUUGCACACACCGCCCGU
RNAcentral lists this ribosomal RNA (509 nucleotides) under uncultured bacterium. Its description in RNAcentral is "partial 16S ribosomal RNA". It matches the Rfam family "Bacterial small subunit ribosomal RNA", at positions 899 to 1397 of the family's 1533-position model. The record is from RNAcentral.